CACCGCCCGUCACAUCACGAAAGUGGGCUGUACUAGAAGUCGGUGCGCGAACCGCAAGGACGCAGCCGCCCAAGGUAUAACUCAUGAUCGGGGUG
Molecule: ribosomal RNA, 95 nt
Filed under: uncultured bacterium
Lineage: Bacteria
Description: partial 16S ribosomal RNA
Rfam family: Bacterial small subunit ribosomal RNA
Source: RNAcentral